AGGCCAUAUCAUAUGUAAACACCUGUUCCCGACCGAUCACCGAAGUUAAGAAACGUCGGGUCUGGUCAGUACCUGGAUGGGUGACCGCUUGAGGCUUCCAAGUGCUGU
Molecule: non-coding RNA, 108 nt
Organism: Acanthosepion pharaonis
Lineage: Eukaryota; Metazoa; Mollusca; Cephalopoda; Sepiida; Sepiidae
Source: the annotation of a GenBank genome assembly